Molecule: transfer RNA, 85 nt
Filed under: Candidatus Omnitrophota bacterium
Lineage: Bacteria; Pseudomonadati; Candidatus Omnitrophota
Description: Candidatus Omnitrophica bacterium tRNA-Met
Rfam family: tRNA
About the family: Transfer RNA (tRNA) molecules are approximately 80 nucleotides in length. Their secondary structure includes four short double-helical elements and three loops (D, anti-codon, and T loops).
Source: RNAcentral
GGGCCCAUAGCUCAGUCGGUUAGAGCACCUGACUCAUAANNUCAUAAUCAGGUGGUCCAAGGUUCGAGUCCUUGUGGGCCCACCA